Molecule: non-coding RNA, 74 nt
Organism: Trametes elegans
Lineage: Eukaryota; Fungi; Basidiomycota; Agaricomycetes; Polyporales; Polyporaceae
Source: the annotation of a GenBank genome assembly
GGCCAGAUAGCUCAGUGGUUAAAGCAUCUGGGUGCAAACCAGAAGGUCCUGGGUUUCAAAUGCCUGCCUGGUCA